Molecule: ribosomal RNA, 460 nt
Filed under: Acinetobacter baumannii
Lineage: Bacteria; Pseudomonadati; Pseudomonadota; Gammaproteobacteria; Moraxellales; Moraxellaceae
Description: bacterial SSU rRNA
Rfam family: Bacterial small subunit ribosomal RNA
Source: RNAcentral
GGUUAAGUCCCGCAACGAGCGCAACCCUUUUCCUUACUUGCCAGCAUUUCGGAUGGGAACUUUAAGGAUACUGCCAGUGACAAACUGGAGGAAGGCGGGGACGACGUCAAGUCAUCAUGGCCCUUACGGCCAGGGCUACACACGUGCUACAAUGGUCGGUACAAAGGGUUGCUACACAGCGAUGUGAUGCUAAUCUCAAAAAGCCGAUCGUAGUCCGGAUUGGAGUCUGCAACUCGACUCCAUGAAGUCGGAAUCGCUAGUAAUCGCGGAUCAGAAUGCCGCGGUGAAUACGUUCCCGGGCCUUGUACACACCGCCCGUCACACCAUGGGAGUUUGUUGCACCAGAAGUAGCUAGCCUAACUGCAAAGAGGGCGGUUACCACGGUGUGGCCGAUGACUGGGGUGAAGUCGUAACAAGGUAGCCGUAGGGGAACCUGCGGCUGGAUCACCUCCUUAACGAA